CCUACGUGAGGCAGCAGUGAGGAAUAUUGGUCAAUGGGCGGAAGCCUGAACCAGCCAAGUAGCGUGCAGGAUGACGGCCCUACGGGUUGUAAACUGCUUUUAUACGGGAAUAACGCGCCUUACGUGUAGGGCUUUGCAUGUACCGUAUGAAUAAGGACCGGCUAAUUCCGUGCCAGCAGCCGCGGUAAUCCGGAAGGUCCGGGCGUUAUCCGGAUUUAUUGGGUUUAAAGGGAGCGUAGGCCGCAUGUCAAGCGUGCUGUGAAAUGUCCGGGCUCAACCCGGGCCUUGCAGCGCGAACUGGCGUGCUGGAGUGAGCGGAAGGCAGGCGGAAUUCGUGGUGUAGCGGUGAAAUGCUUAGAUAUGACGAAGAACCCCGAUUGCGAAGGCAGCAUGCUGCAGCGGAACUGACGUUGAGGCUCGAAAGCGUGGGGAGCGAACAGGAUUAGAUACCCCAGUAGUC
RNAcentral lists this ribosomal RNA (460 nucleotides) under uncultured bacterium. Its description in RNAcentral is "partial 16S ribosomal RNA". It matches the Rfam family "Bacterial small subunit ribosomal RNA", at positions 338 to 795 of the family's 1533-position model. The record is from RNAcentral.